Non-coding RNA from Podarcis lilfordi (Lilford's wall lizard), 74 nucleotides. Lineage: Eukaryota; Metazoa; Chordata; Lepidosauria; Squamata; Lacertidae. The record is from the annotation of a GenBank genome assembly.
GCCUAGAUAGCUCAGUUGGUUAGAACGUAGUGCUAUUAAGGCCAAGGUUGCAGGUUCAAUCCCUGUAUGGGACA